AUGACGAAAGACAACCUGGCCAAGAGAGGCAUAGAAAAAGCCCCGAAAUGUGUAUACUGCUCUGAAAAAGAGUCCAUUACACACUUAUUCUUUGAAUGUGUGGUGGCCAAGCAAAUCUGGGCAGAAAUAUCAGAGUUUUUUGAUGUAGAAUUAGGAACUAACUACUUAUCAAUUGCUAGAUUUUGGCCAGCUAACAAGAAGCAUAUUGCUUUAAAUUCAGUCUGUGCAUGUGUUCUAUGGGCUAUGUGGAAAAAUAGAAAUUCACAUGUCUUUAACAAUGCUAUAUGGACUGAUGUGAAACAGAUAUGGAGGAGAGUGCUAGGACAAUUCAGGAGAUGGCUGAUCUUGUUCAGAGGACCUGCCUUGACAAAACUAGAGGCGUUCGUUCAGAAAAUCUCCUGCAUCCUAGAUGCCCCCCUCCAGAUUCUGGCAGGUUAA
RNAcentral lists this ribosomal RNA (438 nucleotides) under Triticum aestivum (bread wheat). RNAcentral describes it as "partial small subunit ribosomal RNA". Lineage: Eukaryota; Viridiplantae; Streptophyta; Magnoliopsida; Poales; Poaceae. The record is from RNAcentral.